This 497-nucleotide ribosomal RNA is filed under the name uncultured bacterium. RNAcentral's name for it is "partial 16S ribosomal RNA". It matches the Rfam family "Bacterial small subunit ribosomal RNA", at positions 28 to 507 of the family's 1533-position model. The record is from RNAcentral.
GAUGAACGCUGGCGGCGUGCCUAAUACAUGCAAGUCGAGCGAACAGACGAGGAGCUUGCUCCUCUGACGUUAGCGGCGGACGGGUGAGUAACACGUGGAUAACCUACCUAUAAGACUGGGAUAACUUCGGGAAACCGGAGCUAAUACCGGAUAAUAUAUUGAACCACAUGGUUCAAUAGUGAGAGACGGUUUUGCUGUCACUUAUAGAUGGAUCCGCGCCGCAUUAGCUAGUUGGUAAGGUAACGGCUUACCAAGGCAACGAUGCGUAGCCGACCUGAGAGGGUGAUCGGCCACACUGGAACUGAGACACGGUCCAGACUCCUACGGGAGGCAGCAGUAGGGAAUCUUCCGCAAUGGGCGAAAGCCUGACGGAGCAACGCCGCGUGAGUGAUGAAGGUCUUCGGAUCGUAAAACUCUGUUAUUAGGGAAGAACAAAUGUGUAAGUAACUAUGCACGUCUUGACGGUACCUAAUCAGAAAGCCACGGCUAACUACGUG